Molecule: ribosomal RNA, 491 nt
Filed under: uncultured bacterium
Lineage: Bacteria
Description: bacterial SSU rRNA
Rfam family: Bacterial small subunit ribosomal RNA
Source: RNAcentral
GAUCCUGGCUCAGGAUGAACGCUGGCGGCGCGCUUAACACAUGCAAGUCGAACGGUUAAAGCACCUCCGGGUGUGCAUAAAGUGGCGAACGGCUGAGUAACACGUGGGCAACCUGCCCCCCGCACCGGGAUAGCCUCGGGAAACCGUGGGUAAUACCGGAUACUCCGCCACCCCCGCAUGGGGGAGGCGGAAAGCGUACACGGCGGGGGAUGGGCCCGCGGCCUGUUAGCUCGUUGGCGGGGUAACGGCCCACCAAGGCGAUUAUGGGUAGCCGGGUUGAGAGACCGACCGGCCAGAUUGGGACUGAGACACGGCCCAGACUCCUACGGGAGGCAGCAGUGGGGAAUCUUGCACAAUGGGCGAAAGCCUGAUGCAAGCGACGCCGCGUGCGGGAUGAAGGCCCUCGGGUUGUAAACCGCUUUCAGCAGGGACGAGGCGCAAGUGACGGUACCUGCAGAAGAAGCCCCGGCUAACUACGUGCCAGCCGCUGC